UUACCGGCCGCGGUAUUUUGACCGUGCAAAGGUAGCAUAAUCAUUUGUCCUUUAAUUGGGGGCUAGAAUGAAAGAAAGUUUGAAGCUUUUUCUGUCUCUUUUUUAUUUUUGUAAUUUGCUGUUCUUGUGAAGAAGCAAGAGUUGUUAAAAAAGACAAGAAGACCCUAUUAAUCUUUAUUUUUUUGUUUUUAUUUGUUUGAAUAUAAAAACGAAAAGAUUUGGUUGGGGUGACUAAAGAAGAAAAAUUUAUCUUCUUUUUUUAAAAAUAACUCUUUGUUUAACAGAGACCCAAAAUUUUUUGGUUGUAAGAAUUAGUUACUUUUGGUUUAACAGCGUUAUCUUUUCAUAAAGUUGUUAUUGAAGAAAAGGAUUGCGACCUCGAUGUUGACUUACUUUAUCCUAUAAAGGUGUAGCAGCUGUGAGGGUUGGU
RNAcentral lists this ribosomal RNA (430 nucleotides) under Lineus clandestinus. RNAcentral describes it as "partial 16S ribosomal RNA". It matches the Rfam family "Archaeal large subunit ribosomal RNA", at positions 2001 to 2645 of the family's 2987-position model. Lineage: Eukaryota; Metazoa; Nemertea; Pilidiophora; Heteronemertea; Lineidae. The record is from RNAcentral.